AGGACGAACGCUGGCGGCGUGCUUAAUACAUGCAAGUCGAGCGAGGCCUUGGAAUUGGAGUCCUUCGGGAUGAAGAGUCCUUGGCCUAGCGGCGGACGGGUGAGUAACGCGUGGGCAACCUACCCCAAAGUCCGGGAUAACAGUGGGAAACCGCUGCUAAUACCGGAUGGCUUUACCUGAGGGCAUCCUUGGGUAAAGAAAGGUUACGCUUUGGGAUGGGCCCGCGUCCCAUUAGCUAGUUGGUGAGGUAACGGCUCACCAAGGCGACGAUGGGUAGCCGGCCUGAGAGGGUGAACGGCCACACUGGGACUGAGACACGGCCCAGACUCCUACGGGAGGCAGCAGUAGGGAAUAUUGCGCAAUGGGCGGAAGCCUGACGCAGCGACGCCGCGUGAGCGAAGAAGGCCUUCGGGUCGUAAAGCUCUGUCCUUGGGGAAGAAGGCGAAAGCUUGACGGUACCCAAGAAGAAAGCCCCGGCUAACUACGUG
Molecule: ribosomal RNA, 488 nt
Filed under: uncultured bacterium
Lineage: Bacteria
Description: bacterial SSU rRNA
Rfam family: Bacterial small subunit ribosomal RNA
Source: RNAcentral